AAUCAACGCUGGCGGCGUGCCUCAGACAUGCAAGUUGAACGAUUAAAGCUCUCUUCGGAGAGUGCAUAAAGUGGCGCACGGGUGAGUAACACGUAAGUAAUCUACCCUCGAGUGGGGAAUAACGUCCGGAAACGGACGCUAAUACCGCAUAACGCAGCGGCACCGCAAGGUGACAGUUGUUAAAGGAGAAAUCCGCUUGAGGAGGAGCUUGCGGCAGAUUAGCUUGNGGUAAGGUAACGGCUUACCAAGGCUACGAUCUGUAACCGGUCUAAGAGGACGGUCGGUCACACUGACACUGAAUAACGGGUCAGACUCCUACGGGAGGCAGCAGUCGGGAAUUUUGGGCAAUGGGGGAAACCCUGACCCAGCAACGCCGCGUGAAGGAUGAAGUAUUUCGGUAUGUAAACUUCGAAAGAAUAGGAAGAAUAAAUGACGGUACUAUUUAUAAGCUCCGGCUAACUACGUGCCAGCCGCCGCAGUAAU
Molecule: ribosomal RNA, 483 nt
Filed under: uncultured bacterium
Lineage: Bacteria
Description: bacterial SSU rRNA
Rfam family: Bacterial small subunit ribosomal RNA
Source: RNAcentral